AUUGAACGCUGGCGGAAUGCUUUACACAUGCAAGUCGAACGGCAGCACGGACUUCGGUCUGGUGGCGAGUGGCGAACGGGUGAGUAAUGUAUCGGAACGUGCCCAGUCGUGGGGGAUAACGUAGUGAAAAUUACGCUAAUACCGCAUACGAUCUAUGGAUGAAAGCGGGGGAUCGCAAGACCUCGCGCGAUUGGAGCGGCCGAUAUCAGAUUAGGUAGUUGGUGGGGUAAAGGCCCACCAAGCCAACGAUCUGUAGCUGGUCUGAGAGGACGACCAGCCAAACUGGAACUGAGACACGGUCCAGACUCCUACGGGAGGCAGCAGUGGGGAAUUUUGGACAGUGGGCGAAAGCCUAAUCCAGCCAUUCCGCGUGCAGGAUGAAGGCCCUCGGGUUGUAAACUGCUUUUGUACAGAACGAAAAGGUUUCUACUAAUACUAGGAGCUCAUGACGGUACUGUAAGAAUAAGCACCGGCUAACUACGUGCCAGCAGCCGCAGUAA
Molecule: ribosomal RNA, 500 nt
Filed under: uncultured bacterium
Lineage: Bacteria
Description: partial 16S ribosomal RNA
Rfam family: Bacterial small subunit ribosomal RNA
Source: RNAcentral